AGGGAAUUAAGGGAGUCAAUUGAACUACCUCUGAUGAAUCCUGAGCUCUUUCUUCGAUUUGGAAUUAAACCUCCAAAGGGUGUUCUCCUUUACGGGCCUCCUGGUACUGGUAAAACAUUGUUAGCCGGGCUAUUGCCAGUAAUAUAGAUGCUAACUUCCUAAAGGUUAUUUCCAGUGCCAUAAUUGACAAGUACAUUGGAGAAAGUGCCAGGUUAAUCAGAGAGAUGUUUGGUUAUGCACGUGAUCACCAGGUGAGAUACUUGUGUGAAAUUGUCUUCCUA
Glycine soja is the source of this 281-nucleotide long non-coding RNA. RefSeq lists it as uncharacterized. NCBI's taxonomy places the organism in Eukaryota, Viridiplantae, Streptophyta, Magnoliopsida, Fabales, Fabaceae. The record is from RefSeq and is a predicted model, not a curated record. The transcript is spliced from 3 exons.